Molecule: ribosomal RNA, 334 nt
Filed under: Pseudo-nitzschia fraudulenta
Lineage: Eukaryota; Bacillariophyta; Bacillariophyceae; Bacillariales; Bacillariaceae
Description: partial Bacterial large subunit ribosomal RNA
Rfam family: Bacterial large subunit ribosomal RNA
Source: RNAcentral
AGCCAUCCUUUAAAGAAAGCGUAAUAGCUCACUGGUCAAGUGGGCCUGCGCCGAAAAUUUAACGGGGCUAAAGCCAGGCACCGAAGCUUCGGAUUCAUCAGUACUACGGUGCUGGUGAGUGGUAGGAGAGCAUCGUAGCGGCAGUGAAGGUCGAUGGAAACGACGGCUGGAGCUUCUACGAGAGAUAAUGCCGCAAUGAGUAGCGAUAAAGCAUGUGAGAAACAUGCUCGCCGUAAACCCAAGGUUUCCCGGGCCACGUUAAUCGUCCCGGGGUUAGUCGGACCCUAAGCCGAGGCCGAAGGGCGUAGGCGAUGGAAAACAGGUUAAUAUUCCU